Macadamia integrifolia is the source of this 5622-nucleotide long non-coding RNA. RefSeq lists it as uncharacterized. The record is from RefSeq and is a predicted model, not a curated record. Lineage: Eukaryota; Viridiplantae; Streptophyta; Magnoliopsida; Proteales; Proteaceae. The transcript has 5 exons.
GUCCAUGCCGCCAGCCUUCAGGUGAGUGGAGGCGGGGUGUGACAAUUAGUGUGUUCCCCCAUCCCAUCUCCCCUGCUAUUUUUUCAUUUUCCAUACAUUUUGAACUCCACCCAAAAGUUACUUUUGUUGGUAGCUUAUUUAUGAUGUUGCACUUGUUGAACAAAAAACAGUUGGAUGGUUGAACUGCUCUUACAUCUUCUUAUUGCUAUUCUGAUACUGUUUUUCUCUUGCAGUCUUUGAUUUAUGGCAGAGGGCCUACUCCUGUUGGCAUGGCGAUGAUGCCAAUGCUCUUGCCUGAUGGACGGAUUGGAUAUGUCCUGUAAGCACAAAUUUCAAGUCCUCCAAUUCACAUCCUUUACUGCCCAUGAAUAAAUGCAUCUUUGGUACUUCCUACAUUCUGGACAAUGGGACAUUGCCUGAUGGAUGGAUUGGAUAUAUCCUGUAAGCACAAAUUUCAAGUCCUCCAAUUCACAUCCUUUACGCCCCAUGAAUAAAUGCGUCUUUGGUAGUUCCUACAUUCUGGACAAUGGGACAUUGCCAUAUGCAGAAACAAACUUUGACUAGUAGAAUGUGGACGGUGGAAGAACUGAUUCCCAUGGUUUACAGUCUUUCCCCACCAAUAUUUGAAUCCACAUGUCAUUUAAUCAUAUGCUGAAAAAGCUAUGCAUUUUCUGAUAUUAUUGCCUUUGGAUUUGAAAACCUUGGAUUUCUCAAGUUUGAACCAUCCUAUUGCAAGUAAUAUACUCUGAGUAGAAAGGUUCAAACAUCUUUUGUGGGAUCUAGAGUGCUUUGUAUCUUUCAGCUUCCUUAGCAAGGACUAAUUGACAUUGUUUACCUUUCUGGAAAUUCUAAAAUUUCAUCAAUAGCCACUUUUUGUGCCAAUUUCCAAAUUCUUUGCUCGGGAUAUAUUUCAUAUUCUAUUGUGUUCAGUCAUUGCGGGCAACACAGCCGCACACCCCACCUGCUCAACAGCAGAGAAGCAGUGGCAGGAGUGGUGGAAGCUCAAGUGGUGGGAAGCAGUGGCCGUGGGCGUAGAUAUCGGCCGUAUUGAAUUGGUCCGAUGGAUGGUGUCUGGAAGGGUUCAAAAGUUUUUAUUCUAGAUGUACUGAUGCAUCUUCCACUAAAACUUAGAAUGUGAAAGCGAAAUAUUUGCUGCAGGAAGAAGGUCAAGACGCCAAGUGGUGAUUCAUUAGCAAAAGUGUUUCUUCUUAAUUUUUAGUAAUGUUUCUUAGAUUAUGUUGUUUCUUAGUAGUAUUUGUUUCUUGGCAUAAGACUAUAACCCUAGGCAAUGAUCAAUCUCUCUCUCUUACUUAUUGGUGCUGUGAUUUAGUUCUAUUUUUGCAAUUGGGAGAAACAGAGCCAUUAUAGGAUUCUUCCUUCUACUAUCAAGAGAAAGGCAUCUAUUGGAAGAACGAGCACCGGCUGAUGUGCAAAUCUGAGAUCUGCACCACCGAGAGGGAUCGAUAUGAGAAAGUUGUAUGUCAAUUUGAUUCUCUUUUUCUCUAUGCUUUAAAAACUUUGGUAUUAUCUGCAUGGUAUUUGAGGCUACUUUUCAGGAUGAUCGAGUGUUUUCUCCAAAGGACUAGCCGAUGGGCCUGGCUGAUCUCUUAGGGUUCUCCAAAGGACUAAUCGUGUGUAGAUAUCGCUCUAGAGAACACAUAAAAUGGCAAUGGCAUUAAACCUGGCUGCGAAGUGCCAGUUGUAAUUGUUGUUGUAUAUAAAAAAAAAAAAAAAAAAGUGACGAUUAUCUUUCAUUUUCAUCUGCAAAUUUAAAUACACUUUUAUCUUAACGUAACUAUGACAUUGCAAGAUUUUUCUUUUAUACCGUGAUAUUUUUGUUUUUGUUAUUGUUUUUCUUUUUUUUUUAGUCAUAGGCUUCAACUUUGAGGUCUUCUACAAGAAGAAAGAAAUAGACCAGGAAAAUAUUUCCAAUAUAGUGGUAGUUUCAAUGAUGAAAAUUUCCAAUUUCUUUCAAUUUCAUAAGGAAUAUUAUAAUAUUUAAAUUAUUUGACAUUUUAUCAAGAAAUUUCCAAGAUGAAACUUAUUAUAGGCUAUUUUGCAGAGUCUACGCAUCAUAAAAAUCAGAGCGAAAUUAAUUUGAAAAAGAAUGUUAUAACUUGAAACUACUGAGUGUUCUACUUUUCAGAAAAAAAAAUUAAGGAAAACAGACCCACCUUACCGUGUAAUGUAGCAUAAUAGUAACUACAAAAACAGAAUAUGUGGUCUAGGUUCUAAUGCAGGUUAUACCUGGAAAUACCCUCGAUAAUGCAACAUUUAAUAUAAUGCAAGAAGCACACUAUAACAGUCAUCAAUUGCCUCUACUUGUAUUAAAUUUUAUUUAAACUAUCAAUAGUCAUUAGUUGCCUCUCUCUCUCUCUCUCUCUUUCUCUCUUUCUCUAACAUAAGACCACACAUGCAUCUUUUACUAGUGUGUGUGUAUAUAUAUAUAUAUAUAUAUUACAGAUUUAUCCCCCUUGUUUUCCUGUCCUUAAGAAAUUCACUUACAUAAAAUGCAUAUUGGACAGGAUACUUCACAAGUAGGCCAGCCUUCAAAGGUUAUGUCAGAAUGAUGAGUGGUUACUAUUUGGUGAAAUCUUUAAGCCCCCCUUUCAUAAAGAAAUUUGUGUUGCUGUUGUAGUUAUAAAUGGUUUACUUAUUAACAAAAAAAAAAUGAAAAAAAAGUGGGUAUUUAUAAAUUUCUAAAUAUACAAUUGGGAAGCAUCAAAAUUGGAAUUUUUAAAGGUAGAAAUAGUUUAGGGCUCCACUCAGACACAUUGGCUCAUGCUUUGGCUAUUACCCAACACCAUGAUGCAGUUAGUGGUACACAAAGGUAACGUGUGGCUGAUGAUUAUGCAAAACACUUGGCGAUGGGCUAUCUGGAGGUGCAGUUUUUGAUUGACCAUCACAAAUAUUUUGCUUGCACCGCUUUCUUUUUAGGCUCAAAACUAUAUUACCUUCCACUUCAAUAUUGCUUUGUAGGCUGAGGAGUUUGUUGCAUCUUCACUUGCUUGCUUGGCUGGGUCGAGAUCAAAGCCUAGAUGUGGGAGUAUAGCGACCAAACUUCAACAGGCUAAGUAUUAUAAGCCUUUGUGUUUCUGCGCUGUUUGUACUCAUGGUUGUUAACAUUCUUUUCACUUCAGGUUUAACUUAACUAAUUCCAUUAUUUCAUUUCUAGAAAGCAGUUGCCUUCAAAAGCUUGGCAAUUCCUUUAAAACCAAAUACUUAAUUCCCCAUCCAUAUUUUUGUGAGGUUUCUUGUCAGGUUCUUAUGCAUGCACUAUUUGAUUUGAAACUUCUGCAACUUGAAUGGUUAAGAAAAAGGAAAAGAAAUUUAGCAAGAUGUCUAGUGCAAGUUUUGUGUGAUUCUGAUUUGUGAAAGAGAAGGAAAGGCAAGCCAUGGAUGGUUCUCAAUAAUAAAAACUACUGAAUGAUGCUAUUUUGGAGAACUCAAUAUGUUUAAACAUAAAGGAAUAAAAAUACAUUUUGAGUUGUGACCUAUGGAAAAUUUGAAGUUAAGAUGCUCUUUCAGAUAAAGAGGAACUUAUUUGAAAACUUGAAUAUGAAUACCAGGCCAAAAAUGGCAAGCCAAAGGCUCCCAUUACAAUUUGAAACUGAAAGCACUAUAAUUACAAUUAUUGCUACUCAAAUCAGAACCUUCAAGAGUAAGAAAACACAGAACACCAUUUCGGCCACACUAUUCCCCCUUUGCUUACUCAGAAGAUCAACAAGGUCGUAUGUAGGCCUUGUUUCCAUUGGAAUGAGAAGUUCAGUUCACUUGAGAAGCAAAGCGCUUUUUAUUUACCAUAAUCAUGUCUGCAAACCUCCAGGACUGGUCCUCUAUAGAAUUAACCAAAGCUGUGACCAUGGCUAAGUCACUUUCCAUGGCCGUUUAGGCCUUUCGGGAGAGAAGAAUUCUUCCCUUCUUGACUCCGAGCUUUGGGUUAUGAUGUUUCUGAAACAAUUCGUCCUGGAUAUUGUGCAUUAUCAAAGUUACUCUCUGGAGUUGAAGUUGUUUGGGUUCUGAAUUUUACUUGAGAUUCCAUGGUUUUUGUUUUCUGUACCAAUAAUGCUUGCAUUUGCAGAUCACCAGGGUGUAUAAUGAGAAAAAGCAUGCUGAAUUUGAGUUCACUCUAUGCCUACCCUCUUGGACAUUGAUCCAUUUAUGUAUUAGUAGUCUUCUUAGUAUUGAUUACAUAACCAUUCCCUUUGUCUUUAUUAAUUUUAAUAGCAUGUUCUUGUUUUGUUCAAUAAUGAUACUUAAUUUUUAGGUUGGCCCUAUACCUGUUGAUUGUGGAAUUGGGAAAGAAGUUGUAACUCAAAUUACAACACCCAUGUAGACCAAUAGAACAUUCUAUACAGAUUCUAACGGAUGCGACUUUAUGCAUAUACUUUCCUACUAUGUUUCUAUGUUCAACAUGAUGGUGCAGUGAAAAACACGAACAAUUAAAUUUAAAUAUCAUCGUGUUCUUAGAAAGAUUUCAGAUAUAUUUAUUUUAUCCUGUUGUAAAUGGGUGACAAUCUACCUUUUAGUUUAAGUUGUUUUUGAUAACAUCAAAAGAAGUUUAACACUUGAAAGUUUGUGUGAAUUUAUUUAGGUAGUCGAAUAUAUGCGUGGGUACAUAUUUAAUCUUAAGGAAUGGAAUUUGGUUUGCAAAUAUGAGACUAUAGAUCUGACUUGGAUCUGCAAGUGAGCCAACCCGGUGGUGGAAAUUAUUACCCAAUAUGUUUCCUUCGAACAUAUUGCCAGGGGCUGGACUCACUCACCUUAUUCUUCUUCUUCUUCCAUUUCUCUUCUCUCAUCUUAUUUCAUUUUUUUACAUUGAACUUGGUAUUAUAGCUGGUUUGAUAUGACACUAACAACUUGUCUCUCCACUGUACUUCUUGUUUUUUGAAACCCUCAAAGAGUAGAGGGCUCCAAUAGAUGCUGCACCAUGUAGGAAGAGUUGUUUAAGCUUUUCAGCCAUCAACUAGAAGAUAUAUUGAUGAAUAUUUGACGCUGUGCAGACAGGUUUAGGAGCAAAGAAGGAAAAAUAGGGGUACCACCAGCCUUGUAAUCCCUACCUUUCUCUCUCCUCAUGGAUCAGUUGGAGUUGGAACCAGGCUCAUUGAAGUCACCCAAGGCUCCUCUUUCAAGCUCCCAUGACCUCGGUUGUGAAGGGGGCUUGGGGCAAUCUAGUGCUAUGUGUCGGUCAGUUAUACUAUUUGGGGCUUGUGAGAGGAGAUACUGCACUAUACGAUUGAGGAGAGGUCAUACAAAUCACUGAAGUUCACUUAUGGUCGUGCCAAAUACACUAAGAGGGCCAUAACUAAAUCAACAGUGAUGGAAAUGAGGUUUCUUCAUCUGCAGCUGAAAGAACUUGGAGCCAUCCCAUGGAAAAAUACAGUUACGAUAUGGCCCAAUUGCAUGCCAACGGAUCAAAUUGAUUAGUAGGUUGAGGAAGCUGUAAAUUGAGCUACACUUUUUUCUCAAUUGUUUGCCAUUAAGAUAGAUUCCAUAAUCUCACUAGAAGCAGAGGUGUGUAUAUGUAUGCUUUGUUUGCAGUUCUCCCUCUUUUCUUAACUUCUUAUGUGUUUAUACAUUUAUUGUUUCAUUAUCAAGUCAAUGUAGGCUCCUUUCAUCUCA